GAAACCGACCUGGCUCACGCCGGUUUAAACUCAGAUCAUGUAAAAUUUUAAAGGUCGAACAGACCUAUCUUAUUAGCUUCUACACCAAUAAUUAAUUUUAAUCCAACAUCGAGGUCGCAAACUUUUUCUUCGAUAAGAACUCUCAAAAAAAUUACGCUGUUAUCCCUGAGGUAAUUUACUCUUUUAAUCUUACUUAAAGGAUCAAAAAUAUACAAAUUAAUAUUUUAAUAAAAAAAAAGUUUACUCAAUUUUUUCAUCACCCCAACAAAAUAAAUAAUCAAGUAUCCCACCCUUCUAUACUCCUCUACAAAAGAUACCUUUUACUUAUUAAACUCUACAGGGUCUUCUCGUCUUCUAUACAAAUUUAAGCUUUCUCACUUAAAAAUAAAGUUCUAAUAAACUUCACUAGAGACAGCUACUUUUUCAUCAAACCUUUCAUACAAGCUUCCAAUUAAAAAACUAAUGACUAUGCUACCUUUGCACGGUCAAUAUACCGCGGCCAUUUAAUUCCAUCAGUGGGCAGGCCAGACCUGAAAUCAUAAUCAACAAGCCAUGUUUUUAAUAAC
RNAcentral lists this ribosomal RNA (566 nucleotides) under Trigonopterus incognitus. RNAcentral describes it as "partial 16S ribosomal RNA". Lineage: Eukaryota; Metazoa; Arthropoda; Insecta; Coleoptera; Curculionidae. The record is from RNAcentral.